This 655-nucleotide long non-coding RNA is filed under the name Nilaparvata lugens (brown planthopper). RNAcentral's name for it is "uncharacterized LOC120350559, transcript variant X1". The record is from RNAcentral. Lineage: Eukaryota; Metazoa; Arthropoda; Insecta; Hemiptera; Delphacidae.
CUUUGUGGCAUGGUUUUUUAAGGUUAUGAUUUUGCGUACCAAAUCAAUUUUAUUUUUAUUGUUUUGACGAGAAUCUUAUUUUGUGUUAUUUUUAAUAAGUUUGUUACAGCUUUCUAGACAUCAUAGCCAACAUUAUAGAUGGCGAUCUUUAUAAAAAAUUGAAUAUGCAUCACGAAAAUCAUCAUUGAUUCAUAUAUGGAAUUUCUGAAUGAGUCGCCUACUUGAUUUGAAUAUAAUAAGGAACUGCUUGAUUAGAUUGAAGUAGAAAGCGUAUCAACUCGUCGUAAUAUGUUCUUCAGAAGAACAACAGUUCAAACAGAUGGUAAACAAAUUAUGCUUUUCAAAGCUAGUGUACGUCCUUGGAAGACUUGAUAGACCUACUACUGCUUUCGGUUUGGAAUGCGGUACCCCCAUCAAAAGCAUUGACAGACAUUGUCAAGAGUAUCGGAUGGAAAUUUGAACUACAUUCAAAUAGAGCUGAUCAACUAGCUGGAAGGAGAUGUCAUGGUUGUUCUACUCCAUCAAGAAAAUUUUAUAAUAAAUAAGGUUUGUUUGCAAAUAAAACUUUGACAAUGUAUUCUAGAGCACCCAAACCCAAAUUUUACUGAUAUUUAUUUUGUUUCGUGUGUAGGUGAAGUGAAAAACUUAUUCUUUC